Unclassified non-coding RNA from Lingula anatina, 842 nucleotides. The record is from RefSeq and is a predicted model, not a curated record. Lineage: Eukaryota; Metazoa; Brachiopoda; Lingulata; Lingulida; Lingulidae.
UUGGAUAGUUUCAGCCUGUAGCCACAUUAGAAGGGCAUACUGGACCUGUCACUGCUCUAGACGCCCUCUACUGUCACAACAUGGAGCCUGGAUUCUGUACAACAUUGAUUGCUACAGCCUCCUCAGAUUCCACAGUAAGAAUAUGGCAACGUGAAGAAGGGGGUUUCCAGUAUCAGCAAAGUAUUCCAUUUGGCAGUGGUUUUGCUCUUGAUGUUAGCCUAGCUGUGUUACCAGGAACAGCAGGUAAUGUUUUGCUGUUGAUGUUAGCCUAGCUGUGUUACCUGGAACAGCAGGUAAUGUUUUGCUGUUGAUGUUAGCCUAGCUGUGUUACCAGGAACAGCAGUUCCAGUGUUGGCAUGUGGUGCAGAUGAUCACAAGAUUCACCUGUUUGUACUGCAACAUGGACAGUUCCAGAGGAGCCAAAGCUUACCUGGUCAUGAGGACUGGGUACAAGGAGUAGAGUUUUCACACAAUGGUAGGUAUGGCUGUGAAGAGUUCAGGUUACAGUUAGAGAAGUCAGAGGUUGUCUAGUCAUGAGGACUGGGUACGAGGAGUAGAAUUUACACACAAUGGUAGGUAUGGCUGUGAAGAGUUCAGGUUACAGUUAAAGAAGUCAGAGGUUGUCUAGUCAUGAGGACUGAAUACAAGGAAUGGAGUUUACACACAAUGGUAGGUAUGGCUGUGAAGUGUUCAGGUUACAGUAAAAGAAGUCAGAGGUUGUCUAGUCAUGAGAACUGAGUACAAGGAAUGGGGUUUAUACACAAUGGUAGGUAUGGCUGUGAAGUUUUAAUGUUACAGUUAGGCCACACUUUUUAUGUACAGACACAGAUGUGUCUGUACAU